This 433-nucleotide ribosomal RNA is filed under the name uncultured bacterium. RNAcentral describes it as "partial 16S ribosomal RNA". It matches the Rfam family "Bacterial small subunit ribosomal RNA", at positions 29 to 507 of the family's 1533-position model. The record is from RNAcentral.
AACGAACGCUGGCGGCAUGCCUAACACAUGCAAGUCGAACGAAACCUUCGGGUCUAGUGGCUACCGGGUUCGUAACGCGGGGGAACCUGCCCUGAUGUUCGGAAUAACUCCCCGAGAUGGGUGCGAAUACCGGAUAAUGUCUUCGGACCAAAGAGUUAUCGCCUGUGUAUGGGCCCGCGUUGGAUUAGCGAGUUGGUAGGGUAAAACCCUACCACGGCGACGAUCCAUAGCUGGUCUGAGAGGCUGAACAGCGACACUGGGACUGAGACCAGGCCCCGACUCGUAGGGGAGGCAGGAGUGGGGACUAUAGGACAAUGGGCGAAAGGCUGAUACACCAAUGCGGGGUGAGUGAUGAUGGCGUUAGGGUUGUAAAGCUCUUUUAACCGGGAUGAUAAUGACAGUACCGGGAGAAUAAGCUCCGGCUAACUACGUG